RNAcentral lists this long non-coding RNA (3076 nucleotides) under Homo sapiens (human). RNAcentral's name for it is "PDE3A antisense RNA 1 (PDE3A-AS1)". The record is from RNAcentral. Lineage: Eukaryota; Metazoa; Chordata; Mammalia; Primates; Hominidae.
GCCAGUGCUUACCUGUUCCCUCGGUAUACAGGGCAGGGAGGUCCUCCGAUGGGACUUGCUGCUGCAGCCGGACAUCUCGGCGGACACGACGGAGCUGGACCGCCUCCUCCUCUUAAACACCGGGAUAUCUUCCUUGGUCCCAGCAAUCAGCUGGGACCCCAAAUGCUCCCUUGGAGCCGCCUCCGCGGACUGCGGCAAGAUUUGUUCCACGUACCUGGCCAAGAGGAUCCCCAGCACGCCGGCCAGGUACGCCAGGUAAGGUCUCCAGGCGACCUUGAACCUCUCUAAGGAAAUGAGGGACACGGUCCUGACCGCGCUAGUCAAGGCGAUCAUGAGGACGCCCAGCCUCAGCCUCAGCACCAGCCAUGUCGCGGCGGCCAAGCAGCUGAGCACCACCCCCGCGGCGGGGAGUGAGAACCUUACUAAAAAGUCAAUAUUCCUACCCAACUGGAUCAAGAUUGUAGAACACAAGGAUGCAUCCUUAACCUUAUAAAAAUGCCUUGGAAUUUUUAAUGAGCAGAAGUGGUCAGAACCUCAGUCAUACGUCUCAUCCAAUAGAUGGUUCUCCUGUAGCUCAGUGCUCCAUAACCCAGGCUGAAGUUGGCUCAGCACCACCCUGGGAUGGAAGAGGGCCACCUACUGAAUCACCGCCACCACAUCCUGCAGCAUCCUCCAUCCAAGUCUUUCCUGGGCCCACCCCUGCUGAACUCCCAAGGUCAGAAGAGAUCACAGCUUUAGAGCAUUUCAUUACAAAUUUUAAAUUUCCAGUCUCUGGUUUUCAUAUUGCAUUUCAAGAUCAACAUCCUUAUUAGUAGUCGUAUAUUUUUUAUUUUGAAAUUUUAUAACACCUUGUCCACUGGGAAAUUCCAAGCAGGCUACUGAACCUCGUUACCACACAGGCAGAAAUCCGCAUAACACCCCUGUGAAGGAGGUGUUAAAUGACAGAGAGAGAGAGGGAGCGCACACCAUCACCUACUCUUACAAAAGUCCAAUCCUUAAUAAUUAAUGAAUGAAAAGACAUCUUGAGUCCAGUGGUCACUGGGAGUAAUUGGCGUAUAUUUUCUCAGCUGCCUCUAAAUGAAAAUGGCAAUAAUUUAACCAAUAUAUUUGGGCCGACAGCUAGGCUAAAUUCAGUUCUCUUUUGCACCCAAGCAGUAGAACUAAGUGGGAUCUGAACAGACUACUCUCUGUUACCACCUGAUUGUGGAAAACUCACAUGUGGUGCUCAGCAACUGAGUAUUUCAAGUCCUGCUCACAUUUACAAUGUCUUUUUCUAUCCUCGGUUAAAAGGUCCUGAAAAUUGGGAGGACACAAGGUUACAUUUGUUUUAUACCUUUUCUCUGUCCUCAAUCCUUCCUUAUGUAAAAACUUCUGGUGUUUAAAUGAUAAUAUAAGAGGUUACUUCGAGUGAUAAAAUCAAGAGUCCAGCUAUCAAGAUGAAAUUACAUAACAUAAAUGUAUAGUUCAUAGUAUAGAUUGGUGGUUAUCAGCCUCAUAUUGAAUGCCUCCUUUUAUAACAAAUAUUUUAUAAUAUCACUGUAGCAGAUGCUAUCGGUUCCCUUCCUGUAUUCCCUAGGCCAUACACACCAGUGACAUCCUAUUUCUGGUCUCUGCUCAGGGCCUUCUGGCUGCUGAGAGUACUUGGCUCACACACAUUGUGGCAGUCCAGAAGAUGAUAGAUAGCCUGACAGAAUAUAAAAUGACCUCAUACAGCUUCAGACAAUUGGGAGGAGAGGGUGCUUGGGGCAGAUCUUUCACCUAGGAACACAGCGUUUCACUAUACCCAAAACUUUGGAUGUUGCCUAAACAUAUUGGGCAUCACGUGCCAGUAGACUAGCAAGCAAAGGAGUUACUAUACUGAUUUUCAUGACCAGAUAGGGUUACUGCUGCACAAUCAAGAUAGGGAAAAUAUGACUGAAACUCAGAUAAUUCAUGGAGGUGCCCUACUGUGGUUUGGAUCUAUGUCCCCACCCAAAUCUCAUGUCAAACUGUAAUCAUCAGUGUUGGAGAUGGGGCCUGGUGGGACGUGAUGGAUCAUGGGGUCAGAUCCUUCAUAAAUAGUUUAUCACCAUCUGUUCUCCUGAUAGAGUUCUCAUGAGAUCUGGUUACUUAAACGUGUGUAGCACCUCCCCUCACUCUGUCUUGCUCCUGCUUCCACCGUGUGAGAUGCCUCACUCCCCCUGUGCCUUCUGCCAUGAUUGGAAGCUUCCUAAGGCCUCCCCAGAAGUAAAAGCUGCUCUGCUUCUUGUACAGUCUGCAAAACCAUGAGCCAAUUAAACCUCUCUUCUUUAUAAAUGUCCCAGUCCCAAGUAUUUCUUUAAAGCAAUGUGAGGACAGACUAAUACAUACCCCUUGGUGCUUCCAUCCCAAGGAAUAAUCUGAUAAGAACAGGGCAAGUUAGAAUCCAGAGGUUUCAUGGAUCUAGGUCUGUGUUACCCAACUAGGCCAAUGACUUAGGCCAAUAGAAGUCCUGGCUGAGAGUAAAGGUGAAGAGACUCUAGAGUGGGGGCAGAAGAGGAAGCUGAGAAAUAUCACCUAUAGGCGAUAUUUCUAUUUGUCUUAGAAAUUGUGUGUGUGUGUGUGUGUGCGUGUGAGUGUGUGUGUGUGUGAAGUGGGUGGGGACUGGGUAUCCCUUUGUAGAAUGAGUAACAGAGCAGAUUAACUUAAAGCAGGGCGUGAAUGGAUCUGGAUGAUCCAGCAGGUGGACUGUAGCGGAUGACGGUAGUGCUCCCAUCAUCAGCCCUCACUUUCCCUGUAAAUGCCUACAACCCUUUCUGCAAACACUUGUGCCUCCUUGUCUACAGGGAGCUUCUAAGGAAGCUCCCAGACCCCAGUAAUGCAAAGUAAAGUGACAUAGUGCUUAUGUAAGUCUGGAACAGCUUUUACUUUAAAAACUGUGCUCCUUGUCUUGUGCAUAAGAACACUGUACACUUGUAUACCUCUCUGUGUGCUUCAGAACCUCUCUGUGACCCAUCAGUCUACACAACACUGCAUAUCCCAGUCUCCAACCAGUGGUUUUUGGCUCCUUCCUCACUGGAGUGCUCCAUUCAAUAAAAUGUCUUAUCUACUGUCUCAA